Molecule: long non-coding RNA, 636 nt
Filed under: Olea europaea (common olive)
Lineage: Eukaryota; Viridiplantae; Streptophyta; Magnoliopsida; Lamiales; Oleaceae
Description: long non-coding RNA (OEUR_LNC007277)
Source: RNAcentral
AAAAACUUCAGAAACCUCAGUAUUUUAGGUGUCCAAAAGAACCUACACAUACCUACCGCAUUCUAGUUGAGGAUAAUCUCAAAAAAAAAACAAGAAUGACAGCAAUAAAAUCCAGCCAUUACCUUGAAAUGAAGUAAUUCUCUUCUUGAUGAUUAUCAUAUUAUCCUAUUUAUUUUUCCAUUGUCAGAAUACAGUGUGUGAGAAUAAAUUCACAAGGUUUAUUAAUACCCAGGAGCCUAGAAUCUCCCCUACUACAACACAAUAAGAAAACUAAACCUUCAAAAUAAAAUGGAAGAAUUUAAUGCAUCCCACUCAAAUAUUCACACACUACUUAUGUGAACCUAGAAAUGUGCCAUGGUUUGUACUUUGGAUAUCCUAGUUCGACUUUUUCUAUCCAGCUCAAGUAUUUGCACUCAAGCAUAAUGAUUUAUUUCGUGCUCUAACAUGACAAAUUUGAAGUUGAUAGCAUUUCCACAUUUCUCCAUUGUUAGAACUUUAAUGGUGUUUUUCCCUGAUAAAACAAAAAAAAAAAAAAAAAAUGUUUUAUUAUCCUAUUUAUUUUUUCAUUGUCAGAAUACAGUGUGUGAGAAUAAAUUCACAAGGUUUUAAGGAGUAUCCUAGAAAACUGAAUUUGAU